UAGGGAAUCUUCCACAAUGGACGCAAGUCUGAUGGAGCAACGCCGCGUGAGUGAAGAAGGGUUUCGGCUCGUAAAGCUCUGUUGGUAGUGAAGAAAGAUAGAGGUAGUAACUGGCCUUUAUUUGACGGUAAUUACUUAGAAAGUCACGGCUAACUACGUGCCAGCAGCCGCGGUAAUACGUAGGUGGCAAGCGUUGUCCGGAUUUAUUGGGCGUAAAGCGAGUGCAGGCGGUUCAAUAAGUCUGAUGUGAAAGCCUUCGGCUCAACCGGAGAAUUGCAUCAGAAACUGUUGAACUUGAGUGCAGAAGAGGAGAGUGGAACUCCAUGUGUAGCGGUGGAAUGCGUAGAUAUAUGGAAGAACACCAGUGGCGAAGGCGGCUCUCUGGUCUGCAACUGACGCUGAGGCUCGAAAGCAUGGGUAGCGAACAGGAUUAGAUACCCUGGUAGUCCAUGCCGUAAACGAUGAGUGCUAAGUGUUGGGAGGUUUCCGCCUCUCAGUGCUGCAGCUAACGCAUUAAGCACUCCGCCUGGGGAGUACGACCGCAAGGUUGA
Molecule: ribosomal RNA, 551 nt
Filed under: uncultured bacterium
Lineage: Bacteria
Description: bacterial SSU rRNA
Rfam family: Bacterial small subunit ribosomal RNA
Source: RNAcentral